This 462-nucleotide small RNA is filed under the name Pan troglodytes (chimpanzee). Its description in RNAcentral is "processed transcript". The record is from RNAcentral. Lineage: Eukaryota; Metazoa; Chordata; Mammalia; Primates; Hominidae.
CCCCGGCUGGAACCCCUGCGUGAAGAGGACCUGGCCAAGGGGCCUGACUUGCACAUCCUCGUGGCCCAGAGGCAGGUCCAGGUGGCAGAGGAAGGCCUGCAGGACUUCCACCGAGCCCUGCGCUGCUACGUGGACUUCACAGGGGCCCAGAGCCAUUGUCUGCAUGUGUCCGCCCAGAAGAUGCCGGAUGGUGCCUCCUUCACCCUGUAUGAGUUCUGGCAGGAUGAGCCCUCCUGGAGAAGGCACCAGCAGUCGCCUGGCAGCAAGGCCUUCCAGCGCGUCCUCAUCGACCACCUGCGGGCCCCGGACACCCUCACCACUGUGUUCUUCCCAGCCUCCUGGUGGAUAAUGAAUAACAACUGAGCCAGACCUGCACACGCCGAGGGCCCCGGGACCCUGCCUGCCUCUGAACCCCAGGCUGGGACCCCAGCACAGAGGCAAUAAAGGCAGUGGUCCCUUCCA